UUAGAAGUCUUGGGCAAAUCCACAGGGCAAACAGAGCGCUAAACAUACACAGCAAACACGUCUACGUACUCCCUCAAAAAAAAAACACGCAUGACACAGUACACCAAUCUUAAAGAGUGCAUUUACAGUACAAAUAGAAAUGGGCCAAACUGAUGAGCAAAAAUAAAUGUUUAUUUUCACUAAAGAAUUGAGUAACCGCUUUCAUGGUCGUAUAUGUUACAAAGGAUAUAAAUAUGAAACUACCAAACCCCCAUUUGGAUCCUUGCACCAACCACAACCAACACAAGGGGAAGCCGAUCAAAAUUAGUAGACAAAAAUGAGCAGUACAUUAUUUCUUUUACAUUGACAAACACUGCAUGGUUGAAUCAGCUCAGUCGACGAGAAGUCAGCGUGGACGAUGCGGUCGGAUGGACAGGACUGGACUACGGAAGGGGACCGGGCAAAGGAUGCACAAUGGACCGGGCAAAGGAUGCUGCACAAUCUUCACAGGUGCGCCUAAGCACUUACGGAUGAAGAUCAUAUAUGCUUAUUCGCCUUGCAAACAGUAAAGCUGGCGGAUAUUUCCUGAAGCUGGACACAAGAUUUAAAACACCUAAUUGUUAACUCCAACAGGUCAUUUCAAGAGCAAAGGAAACGAUUUUUGCAGUGAAAAGAAGUCUGAUGGUGGAAACUGGAAACAUAAGGACCAGGUAUAUAGUUCAGUUUGCUACUUCGGUAACAAAUACAAAUUCAUUUGGUUAAGUUUACCGAUUUUUUACUCAAAUGAAAGAAAGCACCAAGAAGCACACUCGCAUCACUGUAUUAAAUAUUGUAAGUAUUACUGCAGGAAUGAAGAACAAAGCAACCAAGACGUGUUUGCUGUGUCAUUGUCAUUAGUGCACUGUCAUUAGUGCUGUCAAGCCUGUCAAGUCUCCCAAAUUACAAACUUGACUAAUCCUGAAUCCUAAACAGGGAUCUAGAACCAUUUAGAUUUGUUUUAUUUUAGCAGUGAGGGCAUCAGUUGUUCUUUAGAAAGUAGUUAUUGGGUCAGGUGAAUAUUAAGAGAAAUAUAAAGAUGACUACGUUAUGUGCAGCUCCAAAUACAUAUGUAAAAUAUCAUGGUAAUAACUCCAGAAAAGGCAUUUGCCAGAUGUUGCUUGAAGUCAUAAUUAGCCACCACCGUAAUGCACAAUGUAAGAUCAUUUUUCCAUGAUCACUAACUAACUAGAAUCGAUAUUGCACGAAAAUCAAGUUCUCACGGAUUACCACGAGAUAGCCAAUUACAGUAUCAUGGACUAAUGGAAAAAGU
This 1288-nucleotide long non-coding RNA is filed under the name Hordeum vulgare. RNAcentral describes it as "long non-coding RNA (HVUL_LNC020079)". The record is from RNAcentral. Lineage: Eukaryota; Viridiplantae; Streptophyta; Magnoliopsida; Poales; Poaceae.